GUUCUUUUCAUCAUCUGAUUGUGAGUGUUAUCGCCUUGUUUAACUUUGUCUUUUUGGUUCCUUCAGGAUGCAAACCAACAACAUUGUCAGAAUGAAGUUCAAGGAAAUAUAUAUUUUCUUCAAAACCUUUUACAUUUGAAAAGUUUUUGGAAUGUGUUUGUCAAUGGUUUGUCUUCCUUCAGUUGC
Long non-coding RNA from Sinocyclocheilus rhinocerous, 186 nucleotides. RefSeq lists it as uncharacterized. The record is from RefSeq and is a predicted model, not a curated record. Lineage: Eukaryota; Metazoa; Chordata; Actinopteri; Cypriniformes; Cyprinidae. The transcript has 2 exons.